UACGAAGGGGGCUAGCGUUGCUCGGAAUUACUGGGCGUAAAGCGUGCGCAGGCGGUUCGUUGUGUCGGCGGUGAAAGCCCCGGGCUCAACCUGGGAAUGGCCGUUGAAACUGGCGAACUGGAGUGUGGCAGAGGGGGGUGGAAUUCCGCGUGUAGCAGUGAAAUGCGUAGAGAUGCGGAGGAACACCGAUGGCGAAGGCAGCCCCCUGGGCUGACACUGACGCUCAGGCACGAAAGCGUGGGGAGCAAACAGG
This 253-nucleotide ribosomal RNA is filed under the name uncultured bacterium. RNAcentral's name for it is "partial 16S ribosomal RNA". It matches the Rfam family "Bacterial small subunit ribosomal RNA", at positions 524 to 776 of the family's 1533-position model. The record is from RNAcentral.